This 534-nucleotide ribosomal RNA is filed under the name uncultured bacterium. RNAcentral describes it as "partial 16S ribosomal RNA". It matches the Rfam family "Bacterial small subunit ribosomal RNA", at positions 355 to 899 of the family's 1533-position model. The record is from RNAcentral.
UGGGGAAUAUUGCACAAUGGGCGCAAGCCUGAUGCAGCGACGCCGCGUGGGGGAUGACGGCCUUCGGGUUGUAAACCUCUUUCAGCAGGGACGAAGCGAAAGUGACGGUACCUGCAGAAGAAGCACCGGCCAACUACGUGCCAGCAGCCGCGGUAAUACGUAGGGUGCGAGCGUUGUCCGGAAUUACUGGGCGUAAAGAGCUCGUAGGUGGUUUGUCGCGUUGUUCGUGAAAACCGGGGGCUUAACCCUCGGCGUGCGGGCGAUACGGGCAGACUAGAGUACUGCAGGGGAGACUGGAAUUCCUGGUGUAGCGGUGGAAUGCGCAGAUAUCAGGAGGAACACCGGUGGCGAAGGCGGGUCUCUGGGCAGUAACUGACGCUGAGGAGCGAAAGCGUGGGGAGCGAACAGGAUUAGAUACCCUGGUAGUCCACGCCGUAAACGGUGGGUACUAGGUGUGGGUUUCCUUCCUUGGGAUCCGUGCCGUAGCUAACGCAUUAAGUACCCCGCCUGGGGAGUACGGCCGCAAGGCUAAAA